GCCUAGUUAGCUUAGUUGGUAGAGCGUCUGUCUUGUAAGCGCUAGGCCGCGGGUUCGAUUCCCGCCCGAGGCG
This 73-nucleotide transfer RNA is filed under the name Diaphorina citri (Asian citrus psyllid). It matches the Rfam family "tRNA". From Rfam's summary of the family: Transfer RNA (tRNA) molecules are approximately 80 nucleotides in length. Their secondary structure includes four short double-helical elements and three loops (D, anti-codon, and T loops). Further hydrogen bonds mediate the characteristic L-shaped molecular structure. tRNAs have two regions of fundamental functional importance: the anti-codon, which is responsible for specific mRNA codon recognition, and the 3' end, to which the tRNAs corresponding amino acid is attached (by aminoacyl-tRNA synthetases). tRNAs cope with the degeneracy of the genetic code in two manners: having more than one tRNA (with a specific anti-codon) for a particular amino acid; and 'wobble' base-pairing, i.e. permitting non-standard base-pairing at the 3rd anti-codon position. The record is from Rfam by way of RNAcentral. Lineage: Eukaryota; Metazoa; Arthropoda; Insecta; Hemiptera; Psyllidae.